GGGACAGGGUGGAAGCUAAAUGGCUGCUCUAAAACGCCUUGGUGUAAACAACCCGGGGAAGGACUUCCUUGAACUGCCAGUUACCUGAGUGCGAUCCAUCUUACUAAAGCGUCUGCCCCAAGAGGGGUGUUAUCGCCAGGAAAGAAAACAAAUAAAAGACACCCAGCAUGUUGCAGCGCAGGCACGGGCUGGGGAAUGCUGUCCCCUGGAGGGGGUGAGGGAUCCUCAGCAAGGAGUUAUGGAUCACACAUUUAGGAAGAGGCUGUGCUACUAGCCAGAAAAUUUUCUUCCUAAUGGAAGCCCAGCUAACCACAGGAUCUGCUGCAGACCACAGACCAGCCAAGCUAUACUAAAGACGGCCCACUAGGUUGGAAUGCAGACCACAGUUUGGAAACCACUGGCUUAUGAAAUAAACGAGACAAUAUUUCAA
Molecule: non-coding RNA, 430 nt
Organism: Zonotrichia albicollis (white-throated sparrow)
Lineage: Eukaryota; Metazoa; Chordata; Aves; Passeriformes; Passerellidae
Source: RefSeq, a predicted model, not a curated record